AUUGAACGCUGGCGGCAUGCCUUACACAUGCAAGUCGAACGGCAGCAUGGAAGAGCUUGCUCUUCUGAUGGCGAGUGGCGAACGGGUGAGUAAAGCAUCGGAACGUACCGUGUAGUGGGGGAUAACGUAGCGAAAGUUACGCUAAUACCGCAUACGAUCUACGGAUGAAAGCAGGGGACCGCAAGGCCUUGCGCGAACGGAGCGGCCGAUGGCAGAUUAGGUAGUUGGUGGGAUAAAAGCUUACCAAGCCGACGAUCUGUAGCUGGUCUGAGAGGACGACCAGCCACACUGGAACUGAGACACGGUCCAGACUCCUACGGGAGGCAGCAGUGGGGAAUUUUGGACAAUGGGGGCAACCCUGAUCCAGCAAUGCCGCGUGAGUGAAGAAGGCCUUCGGGUUGUAAAGCUCUUUUGUCAGGGAAGAAACGGUGGGGGCUAAUAUCCUCUGCUAAUGACGGUACCUGAAGAAUAAGCACCGGCUAACUACGUG
RNAcentral lists this ribosomal RNA (490 nucleotides) under uncultured bacterium. Its description in RNAcentral is "bacterial SSU rRNA". It matches the Rfam family "Bacterial small subunit ribosomal RNA", at positions 30 to 507 of the family's 1533-position model. The record is from RNAcentral.